GGUUUUUUGACCCAAUCUAUCUGAACUUGUGGUAAUAUUGAUAAAACAUUUGGGCUUAAAAAUGAUGUUUUUUAUUGAAUAUCGGCUCAAACAACUUUAUAAACUCUUUUAUUAUUGACUGAAAUAUCAAGUAAAUUAAUCCAAUCUUUGGGUUAAAAAAAAAAAAAAAAAAAAGUUUUAAAUAACUUUCAACAACGGAUCUCUUGGUUCUCGCAUCGAUGAAGAACGCAGCGAAAUGCGAUACGUAAUGUGAAUUGCAGAUUUUGUGAAUCAUCGAAUCUUUGAACGCAUAUUGCACUCUUUGGUAUUCCGAAGAGUAUGCUUGUUUCAGUAUCAUGAAAAAUCUCACAAUUUUCAAUUUUUUGUUGAAAAUAGUGGACUUGGAUUUGCGAUUCAUCUAAGGAAUUGCUAAUCUGAAAUGAAUUUUCAUGAAGCUAAAAUGCUUUUAAUCUUUGCUUAAUAGUUUUGCUUUGUCAAAUCUUUUGCAUUGGUUUUUAAAAGCGAAAAAAGUGAAUUGAUUUUUACGAAAAAAUAAUUAAAUCUCAUUUU
Molecule: unclassified non-coding RNA, 549 nt
Filed under: Mucoromycotina sp. 3 KO-2013
Lineage: Eukaryota; Fungi; Mucoromycota
Description: partial contains ITS1, 5.8S rRNA and ITS2
Rfam family: 5.8S ribosomal RNA (bases 184-336)
Source: RNAcentral